Molecule: long non-coding RNA, 2698 nt
Organism: Homo sapiens (human)
Lineage: Eukaryota; Metazoa; Chordata; Mammalia; Primates; Hominidae
Gene: POLR2J4
Product: RNA polymerase II subunit J4 (pseudogene)
Source: Ensembl
AGAGCUGGACCUGCAGCGGACGCUGAGUUUGCAGGCGCCACCUGUGAAGGAGGGGCCACUCUUCAUCCACAGGACCAAGGGCAAGGGCCCCCUCAUGUCCUCCUCCUUCAAGAAGCUCUACUUCUCCCUCACUACCGAGGCCCUCAGCUUCGCGAAGACGCCCAGCUCCAAGAAAAGCGCCCUCAUCAAGUUAGCCAACAUCCGGGCAGCAGAAAAGGUUGAGGAAAAGAACUUUGGCAGCUCGCACGUCAUGCAGGUCAUCUACACGGACGACGCCGGCAGGCCCCAGACUGCCUACCUGCAGUGCAAGUGUGUGAAUGAGCUUAACCAGUGGCUGUCUGUGCUGCGGAAGGUGAGCAUCAACAACACCGGACUGCUGGGCUCCUACCACCCUGGCAUCUUCUGUGGGGACAAGUGGAGCUGCUGCCACCAAAAAGAGAAGACAGGUGGGAGAGGAGGCCUGGGUCCCGGGCUCUGCAUCCGUCCACUGCGAGAUCGGGCCUCUGGCUGAACGAUGGGACCGUGAGCCCUGCUGUGCACCUGCAGGGACAUAACCCAAGGAAUGCUGGCCCCUCCAGGAGCUCUGGGCAGAAAGGGUCCCGUGGACCAGGUGGUUUGGGAAAUGCCACGUGAUGUGUGUGAAGCACAUGAGUGAAUUCGCUGAAGGCUCUAAGGAGGCCCGAAAACACGUCAGGGCUGCGAUAAGACCCGGUCACGGGUGACCCUGCAGGAGUGGAAUGACCCUCUUGACCAUGACCUUGAGGCCCAGCUCAUCUACCGGCACCUGCUGGGCGUGGAGGCCAUGCUGUGGAUCACCAUUAACAAGGACACCAAGGUACCCAAUGCCUGUUUAUUCACCAUCAACAAAGAAGACCACACACUGGGAAACAUCAUUAAAUCACGUGCCUGCUUCCCCUUCGCCUUCUGCCGUGAUUGUCAGUUUCCUGAGGCCUCCCCAGCCACGCUUUCUGUACAGCCUGCAGAACUGUGAGUCAAUUAAACCUCUUUUCUUCAUAAAUUACCCAGUUUCUCAUAAUUCUUUAUAGCAGUGUGAAAACAGACUAAUGGACCCUUCUGGUUGAAGGAAUGCAGCCAUUCUGCUUGUUUGACUAUGUCCUUUCUGUUCAUCUCUAUUUCCUGGGAGGUGUUUAUCCAAGUGCAAUAGGAGGUAUUGGUGACCGCACAGUCCCCUCAGUGUUCUGCUAGUAAAUAGUUGAAGGUUGAUCCUUGAUCUCCUGCGUUUUCAGUCUGGCAUGGAAAAGCCCCCGUGCAACUGGUAAAGAUAUCAAUAAGCACCAGGAGGUAUCUAAAUCCACCAGGAGCCAUAGGCAUCACGUUGACGUCCAUUUACCAGUCUUCCCUGGCAAGAUUCUUCUGAAUUGUGCUGCCUUGGCCAAAAGAGGUAUGGGAGGGGCUGGGCGCAGUGGCUUGUGCCUGUAAUCCCAACAUUUUGGGAAACCAAUUCAGGUGGAUCAUUAGAGGUCAGGGGUUCAAGACCAUCCUGGCCAACAUGGUGACAUCCCAUCUCUACUAAAAAUACAAUAAGUUAGCUGGGUUUGGUGUUGGGUGCCUGUAAUCCCAGCUACUCGAGAGGCUGAGGCAGGAUAAUCGCUUGAACCUGGGAGGAGGAGGUGGCAGUGAGCUGAGAUCGUGCCAUUGCACUCCAGCGUGGGCAACAAGAGUGAAACGUCGUCUCAAAAAAAAAAAGUCCGGGCGUGAUGGCUCACACCUGUAAUCCCAGCACUUUGGGAGGCCAAGACGGGUGGAUCACGAGGUCAGGAGUUCAAGACCAGCCUGGCCUAGAUGGUGAAACCCUGUCUCUACUAAAAAUACAAAUAUUAGCUGGGCAUGGUGGCAUGCACCUGUAAUCUCAACUACUCAGAGGUCUGAUGCAGGAGAAUUGCUAAAACCCAGGAGGGAGAGGUUACAUUGAGCCGAGAUUGCACCACUGCACUCUAGCCUGGGCGACAGAGCAAGACUCCAUCUCGAAAGAAAGAAAGAGAAAGGAAAUUCCCCAGGGAAGUACCUUGGCUGAUUUCAUAAACAGGUACUGAAGGAAGCAGAGGCAUGUGGAGGACUUCCCCAGCUCAUGCAGCUAUUUGGGCCGUGGCGUCUGAAAUUUAUUAUUUCAGAGUCACCCCUUUGAUGACCUUAGCAGUGGACUGCAGUCAUCUGUUUAGGCCUCUCCAUGGCCCACGUCAAUGCCGCUAUUUCUGUUUGUUGCACAUUUGAUUUCCUUGUUGUUGGCAUUUAGAAGGCCCCCUGUUUCCCAGAUCACACCACGGGCAUGGACCACAGAGAUUGCAUCUUGUGAGUCUGUAGAAAUGGUCAAGGCCUUGUCCUCUCUUAGGUCCAGAGCUCAGGUUAAUGCAGAUUUUCCCGGCCGUCUGUGCUGAAGUCCCUGUGGGGAGGCUCCUGGCUGGUUUCCUGUAGGUAGACAGCUACACGUCCUGCCCUUCAUUGGCUUCUUUUCAUGAAGCUCCUGCCAUCUACAAAACAUGUCUCCCUUCUUGAAUCACAUCUCUGUUAUUGAAACUCUAGAAGUCGACCGGGCAUGGUGGCUAUGCCUAUAAUCCCAGCAUUUUGGGAUGCCAAGGCGGGUGGAUCACCUGAGGUCAGGAGUUCAAGACCAGCCUGGCCAACAUGGCGAAACCCCGUCUCUAAUACAAAUACAAAAAUUACCCAAGCAUGGUGGCCA